RNAcentral lists this ribosomal RNA (748 nucleotides) under uncultured Tomentella. RNAcentral's name for it is "eukaryotic LSU rRNA". The stretch from base 186 to 340 matches the Rfam family "5.8S ribosomal RNA". Lineage: Eukaryota; Fungi; Basidiomycota; Agaricomycetes; Thelephorales; Thelephoraceae. The record is from RNAcentral.
GUUGUUGCUGGCCCCUGUAUGGGGGCAUGUGCACGCUCUGUUUACACAUCCACUCACACCUGUGCACCCUCUGUAGUUCUAUAGCCUGGAGGGCCCUGUCCUCCUGCUGUGGUUCUACGUCUUUACACACACACAUUGAAAUAAAGUCUAAUGGAAUGUAUGUCGCGUUUAACGCAAUGAAAUACAACUUUCAGCAACGGAUCUCUUGGCUCUCGCAUCGAUGAAGAACGCAGCGAAAUGCGAUAAGUAAUGUGAAUUGCAGAAUUCAGUGAAUCAUCGAAUCUUUGAACGCACCUUGCGCCCUUUGGCUAUUCCGAAGGGCAUGCCUGUUUGAGUAUCAUGAACACCUCAACUCUCAUGGCUUGCCGUGAUGAGCUUGGACUUUGGGGGUCUUGCUGGCCUGUGGUCGGCUCCUCUCAAAUGAAUCAGCUUGCCGGUGUUUGGUGGGAUCACAGGUGUGAUAACUAUCUACGCUUGUGGUUUUCCACCAGGUAACCCUCAGCAAUGGAGGUUCGCCGGAGCUUACAAAUGUCUCUCCCCAGCGAGGACAGAUUUUGACCGUUUGAUCUCAAAUCAGGUAGGACUACCCGCUGAACUUAAGCAUAUCAAUAAGCGGAGGAAAAGAAACUAACAAGGAUUCCCCUAGUAACUGCGAGUGAAGCGGGAAGAGCUCAAAUUUAAAAUCUGGCGUGCCUCUGGCCGUCCGAGUUGUAGUCUGGAGAAGCGUUUUCCGUGCUGGACCGUGUAA